UCUAAUCUUAAUUUUUUAAAAAUAGUUUUACUAUAUUCAAAAAAAAAAAAACCUGUGGUUUCGUAGUUUUUUUACUUUGCCCUUCUGUGGUUUAAAAUAUAUCAAUUUAUCCUUCCUGCGGUUUCAUUUUUAUCUUUUUGAUAGCUUUUUCGUUAAUAUUUCAUUAAAUUAUAUACAAAAAACUUCAUAUACCCAUCUAGAUUUAUCGAAUAUUCACUUUAGUACCCUUUAAUUUUAACUUUUUCACUGAUUUAAGAAAAAAAAAAUAAUAAAAUUGAUAAAAAAAAGAGAAAAAAAAAACCACAAGGGGGCAAAUUGAUAUAUUUUAAACCAUAUGGGGGCAAAAUGAGAAACUACGAAACCGUAGGGGGGUUUUUUGAAGUUUUUCCAAAAAAAU
RNAcentral lists this long non-coding RNA (397 nucleotides) under Ananas comosus (pineapple). Its description in RNAcentral is "long non-coding RNA (ACOM_LNC017953)". The record is from RNAcentral. Lineage: Eukaryota; Viridiplantae; Streptophyta; Magnoliopsida; Poales; Bromeliaceae.